AUACGGAGGAUGCAAGCGUUAUCCGGAUUUAUUGGGUUUAAAGGGUGCGUAGGCGGUUUGCUAAGCGGGAGGUGAAAUGCCGGCGCUCAACGUCGGAAGUGCCUCCCGAACUGGGGGGCUUGAAUGACUCUGCCGUGGGAGGAAUGUGUAGUGUAGCGGUGAAAUGCUUAGAGAUUACACAGAACACCGAUUGCGAAGGCAUCUCACGAAGGGUUGAUUGACGCUGAGGCACGAAAGCGUGGGGAUCAAACAGGAUUAGAUUCCCUGGUAGUCCACGCAGUAAACGAUGAUGGCUAACCGCUGGGCUUAUCAGUUCAGUGGCCAAGCGAAAGCGAUAAGCCAUCCACCUGGGGAGUACGACCGCAAGGUUGAAACUCAAAGGAAUUGACGGGG
RNAcentral lists this ribosomal RNA (393 nucleotides) under uncultured bacterium. RNAcentral's name for it is "partial 16S ribosomal RNA". It matches the Rfam family "Bacterial small subunit ribosomal RNA", at positions 523 to 918 of the family's 1533-position model. The record is from RNAcentral.